GCUCUCUGUGGCUCCGUUGGUUAGUGUGUCUGGUUGUUAACCAGAAGAAUGGUGGUUCGAGUCCAUCCAGGUACA
Podarcis lilfordi (Lilford's wall lizard) is the source of this 75-nucleotide non-coding RNA. NCBI's taxonomy places the organism in Eukaryota, Metazoa, Chordata, Lepidosauria, Squamata, Lacertidae. The record is from the annotation of a GenBank genome assembly.